This 462-nucleotide ribosomal RNA is filed under the name uncultured bacterium. RNAcentral's name for it is "partial 16S ribosomal RNA". It matches the Rfam family "Bacterial small subunit ribosomal RNA", at positions 29 to 507 of the family's 1533-position model. The record is from RNAcentral.
AGUGAACGCUGGCGGCGUGCCUAAUACAUGCAAGUCGAACGGAGAUUAAGUAGCUUGCUAUUUAAUCUUAGUGGCGCACGGGUGAGUAAUAUAUAGCUAACUUGCCCAUUACUAAGGGACAACAGUUGGAAACGACUGCUAAUACCUUAUACUCCGUAUAUAUAUAAGUAGAUACGGGAAAGUUUUUCGGUAAUGGAUAGGGGUAUAUCGUAUUAGCUAGUUGGUAAGGUAAUGGCGUACCAAGGCUAUGACGCGUAACUGGUCUGAGAGGAUGAUCAGUCACACUGGAACGGAGACACGGUCCAGACUCCUACGGGAAGCAGCAGUAGGGAAUAUUACUCAAUGGGGGAAACCCUGAAGCAGCAACGCCGCGUGGAGGAUGACACUUUGCGGAGCGUAAACUCCGUUUCUUGGGAAAGAAUUAUGACGGUACCCAAUGAAUAAGCACCGGCUAACUCCGUG